AACACCUCAAUUUCAUGAUUUUAUGUCUUGAAAUUGGACUUGAGCAUAUCCCAACGUGUAAUUUAAUUAUAUGGAGGGUUGCUUCAAAUGCAGGUGCAGCCGAUCAUUCUUCUGGGCUAAAAGCAUUAUCUAGUUAGUCCCGUAAAACGGAUUAUUCAUUUUAUUGCUGCAGCUUACCUUUAUGAAAGGAAGACAUGGCCAUUGUGCUGACUGAUGCAGGAUUUCUCAGAGGGUCUGCAAAGACUUUUUGAAA
Molecule: unclassified non-coding RNA, 253 nt
Filed under: uncultured Mortierella
Lineage: Eukaryota; Fungi; Mortierellomycota; Mortierellomycetes; Mortierellales; Mortierellaceae
Description: sequence contains ITS2
Source: RNAcentral